UGCCAGCCGCCGCGGUAACACGGGGGGCGCAAGCGUUAUUCGGAAUUAUUGGGCGUAAAGGGCGCGUAGGCGGUCUUGUCCGUCAGGUGUGAAAGCUCGGGGCUCAACCCCGGAAGUGCACUUGAAACAGCAAGACUUGAGUACGGGAGAGGAUGGCGGAAUUCCCAGUGUAGAGGUGAAAUUCGUAGAUAUUGGGAAGAACACCGGUUGCGAAGGCGGCCAUCUGGCCCGUUACUGACGCUGAGGCGCGAAAGCGUGGGGAGCAAACAGGAUUAGAUA
Molecule: ribosomal RNA, 279 nt
Filed under: uncultured bacterium
Lineage: Bacteria
Description: partial 16S ribosomal RNA
Rfam family: Bacterial small subunit ribosomal RNA
Source: RNAcentral